RNAcentral lists this ribosomal RNA (253 nucleotides) under uncultured bacterium. Its description in RNAcentral is "partial 16S ribosomal RNA". It matches the Rfam family "Bacterial small subunit ribosomal RNA", at positions 524 to 776 of the family's 1533-position model. The record is from RNAcentral.
UACGAAGGGGGCUAGCGUUGUCCGGAAUCAUUGGGCGUAAAGCGCGUGUAGGCGGCCCGGUAAGUCCGCUGUGAAAGUCCAGGGCUCAACCCUGGGAUGCCGGUGGAUACUGUCGGGCUCGAGUCCGGAAGAGGCGAGUGGAAUUCCUGGUGUAGCGGUGAAACGCGCAGAUAUCAGGAGGAACACCAAUGGCGAAGGCAGCUCGCUGGGACGUGACUGACGCUGAGACGCGAAAGCGUGGGGAGCAAACAGG